This 262-nucleotide ribosomal RNA is filed under the name uncultured bacterium. Its description in RNAcentral is "partial 16S ribosomal RNA". It matches the Rfam family "Bacterial small subunit ribosomal RNA", at positions 524 to 778 of the family's 1533-position model. The record is from RNAcentral.
UACGAAGGGUGCAAGCGUUACUCGGAAUUACUGGGCGUAAAGCGUGCGUAGGUGGUUAGUUAAGUCUGAUGUGAAAGCCCUGGGCCUCAACCUGGGAAUGGCAUUGGAAACUGGCUGACUAGAGUGCGGUAGAGGGAGUGGAAUUCCCGGUGUAGCAGUGGAAAUGACGUAGAUAUGGGAGGAACAUCUGUGGCGAAGGGCGAACUACCUGGGACCAGCACUGACACUGAGGCACCGAAAAGCGUGGGGAGCAAAACAGGGA